Molecule: ribosomal RNA, 414 nt
Filed under: uncultured bacterium
Lineage: Bacteria
Description: bacterial SSU rRNA
Rfam family: Bacterial small subunit ribosomal RNA
Source: RNAcentral
GUGCCAGCCGCCGCGGUAAUACAUAGGGGGCGAGCGUUGUCCGGAAUGACUGGGCGUAAAGGGUGUGUAGGCGGCUUCGCAAGUUGGAAGUGUAAUACCUAGGGCUUAACUCAGGUGCUGCUUCCAAAACUGCGAGGCUUGAGUGUCGGAGAGGAAGAUGGAAUUCCUAGUGUAGCGGUGGAAUGCGUAGAUAUUAGGAGGAACACCAGAGGCGAAAGCGAUCUUCUGGACGAUAACUGACGCUGAGGCACGAAAGCGUGGGGAGCAAACAGGAUUAGAUACCCUGGUAGUCCACGCCGUAAACGAUGGAUACUAGGUGUAGGGGGUAUCGACUCCCCCUGUACCGCAGCUAACGCAAUAAGUAUCCCGCCUGGGGAGUACGGCCGCAAGGUUGAAACUCAAAUAAAUUGGCGG